Long non-coding RNA from Gymnogyps californianus (California condor), 2196 nucleotides. RefSeq lists it as uncharacterized. The record is from RefSeq and is a predicted model, not a curated record. The transcript has 2 exons. Lineage: Eukaryota; Metazoa; Chordata; Aves; Accipitriformes; Cathartidae.
UGCCGCCGCCGCCGCCGCUGCCGCUGCCGCUGCUGCUGCUGCUCGGAGGGCGCCCGCCGGGCGGUGUCAUGAUGAGGAGCUUCUCAGAAACAGAAGUGGAUGAUGAGUGGAGAUGAAGAAAUCAUACAUUUAAGAAGUUGGCUCAAGUUUCCGUUACAGGCAUGGAAAGUUUCUGAGACCAACCCAUGCGAGAAGAACAUGAGUAAAGAAGAGGGAGAUGUAGACCCAGACUUUCUAGAAGGGAUUGCAGGAUUUGAGAGGACGCUGCACAAACGUCACGUAGUUUGCUUGCUUAUUCAUUUACCUGCGCCCCUGGAUUGUAAUACUUUGUUUGCAUUAUCUGUUUGGAAGUUGAAAAAUCCCCUCACAUCUGUGUCUUUAAUAUAAUUGUGGCUUCAAGCUUGUUUUAGGAAGAGCAGAACAUUGCUGUAGUUUUUAUUUGUGGAUUAGAUAGCUGCUGCUUUGUACUUGAAAUCAAUUUUGGUUUUUUGUAGAAACGUACGUUGAAUAUGGAGAUCAGACCAUGACUGUUACAAAAUAGGAAAUCAGGGGUGACAGGUACAUAGGUAAAAGAAAAAAAAGAUAGUGGUAGCCCUCUAAUUUGAGUAACCUUAUAAUGCAUUGUUCUUAUGCUCUCCUUAGACAGAUGUCAGAAUCAAAUAUUAAUCAGUUCAAUCUUUUUUAUUUGACUGUUGGUCACAAAAAUAUGCCAGAUAGGUAAGAUUUCUUGGCAGGGCUGUGAGGUUUUAAGUGCAGAUUACUUAGUAUUGAGUUGGGGGAGAGCUUUUUAGAAAGGUAGGUUUUUUUAACAUCUUGGCUGUUAUGUGAAGUAUCUCCAAGGAAGUACUAGCCAUGCAGUCCAACAAGUUACGAUGCUGUGAACAGACUUCAUUGUAGUAAGUCUCUGAUAUGGAGUUUGACAUAUAUGUAUUUAAAAUUCUAAAAUUAAAUGUAAUUUCCUAUAUUGGCCAGUGUUGCUGGUAGAGGCAAAGAGCAUCUUUAUUUUUCUUAUGAACUCUUAUCUGGUGUUUUAUCCUCAAUAAAAGGCUAUGGUUAUUUUUGCAUACUGACUGAAUAUUUGGCCUUUAAGAGUAUAUAAUUAGAUGGAAGAGUAAAAGCAGUUGUUAAAGGACUGUUUUUCUAAUGAAAAUAGUUUGAAAUCGUAUAAUUUUAGUUUCUUCCGAAUAGAUGUGAUUAGUGUGUUGGAAAUAGUUUUACAGUGGAUAUAAAGGGAACAGUUGAGAGACAGUGGCUGAGAAUGUGUCCAGCUAUUUUUGUAGCUAAGAGUUAUAUUUUUUCUGUCUCUUUACGUAGAUAUUUCCAUAUAAUUGAACAGCUAAAUUACAAUUGGAUACAAAAACUAUUUGCACUUAGUAGUAUUUAUAUUUUUAAAUAGAUUUUAUUGUACUAAUUGAUAAGUAAAUUGCAAUGACUGUGAGAAAAUCCUAGCCUAUAUUAUUACUUUGAUAGAAAUUUGAAUAUGGGAUAGUAUUAUCUGUAUCAUAUAAAAAUGUUUUAAUGGAUUUUUAGCUGCUGAAACUGAAAUCAAUAAACUUUAGUUACUGUUGUUGACUGGAACAAGUAAAUCUGCACAUUUCUGUUUUCUUCGUAUUACCUCUGCCUCUAUGUUCACCUAGUGUUUCUUCCAGCAUUAUGCCUUUCAUGGUAUUUGCCUUCUUUAGAUCAACCCGUGAGGCACUCACUGUGGGCUUUUGCAUGUUCUUGUGGAAGACUUUCUUGAUGGAGAACUGUGCCUCUGAGUUUGUGCAAUUACUUUAUGUUUUCUGAAUAAACCCUAGAGAAUCCCAGGCGAAAUAAAAUCCCAGGAUUAGUAGAGUAGCCAGUGGGUCAGUUCAUAAUUUUUCUCAUAUUUUAAAUAUAUCUGUCAGUAACUGAUGGUUGUGUUUUAAAGUAGAUACAGAAUGGUCUUGUGCACACCUGAAUUUCAUGUUAGAUUAGUGACACCAGUGUAUCGCAGAUUGAAUGUACAUUAGUGAACAAUAUGGUCUAUGUUCUGGAUUACUUUGGAGAAUGGAAAAUACUUUUUGCUUGGUUGAGAAAUUUUUAAAACUGGAAAAGAUUAUGUUUAUUUUAAAACCCUGCUACUUCGGAUUUGAAAGAAACAAACUUGUAAUAUAGCCCAAAUUUAUUGUAAUCUGUUUAGUUAUUUGUAUUAAAUGAAGUGAUUCAAAGGUG